UAAGGUUUUAAACCCUAAACUGAAUUUUUUUUCAUUCAGCCAGCAUUAGGGUUUUAAGCCCUAAACAGAGCUUUUCCUUUCAGCCAGCAUUAGGGUUUUAAACCCUAAACUGAGCUUUUCCAUGCAAUCAGCAUUAGGGUUUUAAACCCUAAACUGAAUUUUUCCUUUAGUCAGCAUUAGGGUUUUAAACCCUAAACUAAACUUUUUUCCCAUUCAGCCAGCAUUAGGGUUUUAAACCCUAAACUGAGCUUUUCCAUGCAAUCAGCAUUAGGGUUUUAAACCCUAAACUGAAUUUUUUCCAUUCGGCCAGCAUUAGGGUUUUAAACCCUAAACUGAGCUUUUCCAUUCAGCCAGCAUUAGGGUUUUAAACCCUAAACUGAGCUUUUCCAUUCAGCCAGCAUUAGGAUUUUAAACCCUAAACUGAGCUUUUCCAUUCAGCCAGCAUUAGGGUUUUAAACCCUAAACUGAGCUUUUCCUUUCAGCCAGCAUUAGGGUUUUAAACCCUAAACUGAGCUUUUUCAUGCAAUCAACAUUAGGGUUUUAAACCCUAAACUGAAUUUUUCCUUUAGUCAGCAUUAAGGUUUUAAACCCUAAACUAAACUUUUUCCUUUAGUCAGCAUUAGGGUUUUAAACCCUAAACUGAAUUUUCCAUUCAGCCAGCAUUAGGGUUUUAAACCCUAAACUGAGCUUUUCCAUGCAAUCAGCAUUAGAGUUUUAAACCCUAAACUGAAUUUUUUCCAUUCAGCCAGCAUUAGGGUUUUAAACCCUAAACUGAGCUUUUCCAUGCAGUCAACAUUAGGGUUUUAAACCCUAAACUGAAUUUUUCCUUUAGUCAGCAGUAGGGUUUUAAACCCUAAACUGAACUUUUUCCUUUAGUCAGCAUUAGGGUUUUAAACCCUAAACUGAAUUUUCCAUUCAGCCAGCAUUAGGGUUUUAAACCCUAAACUGAGCUUUUCCAUGCAAUCAGCAUUAGGGUUUUAAACCCUAAACUGAAUUUUUU
Molecule: long non-coding RNA, 1000 nt
Filed under: Nicotiana tabacum (common tobacco)
Lineage: Eukaryota; Viridiplantae; Streptophyta; Magnoliopsida; Solanales; Solanaceae
Description: long non-coding RNA (NTAB_LNC012385)
Source: RNAcentral